Molecule: transfer RNA, 64 nt
Filed under: Hydrellia tritici
Lineage: Eukaryota; Metazoa; Arthropoda; Insecta; Diptera; Ephydridae
Description: tRNA-Phe
Source: RNAcentral
UAUUCAAAGACAAAAUUGUCUCCAUAAUAUCUUCAAUAUUAUACUCUAUAUAAGCUAUUUGAAU